Molecule: ribosomal RNA, 79 nt
Filed under: Photobacterium phosphoreum
Lineage: Bacteria; Pseudomonadati; Pseudomonadota; Gammaproteobacteria; Vibrionales; Vibrionaceae
Also listed under: 2 other names
Description: partial 16S ribosomal RNA
Rfam family: Bacterial small subunit ribosomal RNA (bases 1-71)
Source: RNAcentral
UGUGGUUCAUGACUGGGGUGAAGUCGUAACAAGGUAGCCCUAGGGGAACCUGGGGCUGGAUCACCUCCUUACCUAAAGA